This 72-nucleotide transfer RNA is filed under the name Echinops telfairi (small Madagascar hedgehog). RNAcentral's name for it is "tRNA-Ala (AGC) (tRNA-Ala-AGC-5-1)". It matches the Rfam family "tRNA". From Rfam's summary of the family: Transfer RNA (tRNA) molecules are approximately 80 nucleotides in length. Their secondary structure includes four short double-helical elements and three loops (D, anti-codon, and T loops). Further hydrogen bonds mediate the characteristic L-shaped molecular structure. tRNAs have two regions of fundamental functional importance: the anti-codon, which is responsible for specific mRNA codon recognition, and the 3' end, to which the tRNAs corresponding amino acid is attached (by aminoacyl-tRNA synthetases). tRNAs cope with the degeneracy of the genetic code in two manners: having more than one tRNA (with a specific anti-codon) for a particular amino acid; and 'wobble' base-pairing, i.e. permitting non-standard base-pairing at the 3rd anti-codon position. The record is from RNAcentral. Lineage: Eukaryota; Metazoa; Chordata; Mammalia; Afrosoricida; Tenrecidae.
AGGGGUAUAGCUCAGUAGUAGAGCGCGUGCUUAGCAUGCACGAGGCCCUGGGUUCGAUCCCCAGUACCUCCA